RNAcentral lists this ribosomal RNA (375 nucleotides) under uncultured organism. RNAcentral describes it as "partial 16S ribosomal RNA". It matches the Rfam family "Bacterial small subunit ribosomal RNA", at positions 526 to 896 of the family's 1533-position model. The record is from RNAcentral.
GGUAGGUGGCAAGCGUUGUCCGGGAAUUAUUGGGGCGUAAAGCGCGCGCAGGCGGUUCGUUUAAGUCUGAUGUGAAAGCCCACGGCUCAACCGUGGAGGGUCAUUGGAAACUGGAGAACUUGAGUACAGAAGAGGAAAGCGGAAUUCCACGUGUAGCGGUGAAAUGCGUAGAGAUGUGGAGGAACACCAGUGGCGAAGGCGGCUUUCUGGUCUGUAACUGACGCUGAGGCGCGAAAGCGUGGGGAGCAAACAGGAUUAGAUACCCUGGUAGUCCACGCCGUAAACGAUGAGUGCUAAGUGUAGGGGGUUUCCGCCCCUUAGUGCUGCAGCUAACGCAUUAAGCACUCCGCCUGGGGAGUACGGCCGCAAAGGCUG